CUCUGAAAAGGGCAACGCUAUCGCGAGAUAGUUGCGCAAAGCCACGGGUCUCUCGCAGAUAGCCGGGUUACCGGA
RNAcentral lists this non-coding RNA (75 nucleotides) under Candidatus Latescibacterota bacterium. RNAcentral describes it as "Latescibacteria bacterium c-di-GMP sequence". It matches the Rfam family "c-di-GMP-I riboswitch aptamer". From Rfam's summary of the family: GEMM was predicted in a large-scale screen for bacterial structured RNA regulatory elements. Genes associated with GEMM are involved in a diverse array of functions, including chemotaxis regulation, signal transduction, secretion and chitin. The record is from RNAcentral. Lineage: Bacteria; Pseudomonadati; Candidatus Latescibacterota.